RNAcentral lists this ribosomal RNA (1434 nucleotides) under uncultured organism. RNAcentral describes it as "16S ribosomal RNA". It matches the Rfam family "Bacterial small subunit ribosomal RNA". The record is from RNAcentral.
CAGGCUUAACACAUGCAAGUCGAGGGGCAGCAUGGUCUUAGCUUGCUAAGGCCGAUGGCGACCGGCGCACGGGUGAGUAACGCGUAUCCAACCUGCCUUACACUCUUGGACAGCCUUCUGAAAGGGAGAUUAAUACAAGAUGUUAUCAUGAGUAAGCAUUUUCACAUGAUUAAAGGUUUACCGGUGUAAGAUGGGGAUGCGUUCCAUUAGAUAGUAGGCGGGGUAACGGCCCACCUAGUCUUCGAUGGAUAGGGGUUCUGAGAGGAAGGUCCCCCACAUUGGAACUGAGACACGGUCCAAACUCCUACGGGAGGCAGCAGUGAGGAAUAUUGGUCAAUGGACGAGAGUCUGAACCAGCCAAGUAGCGUGAAGGAUGAAGGUUCUAUGGAUUGUAAACUUCUUUUAUACGGGAAUAAACGGAUCCACGUGUGGAUUUUUGCAUGUACCGUAUGAAUAAGGAUCGGCUAGCUCCGUGCCAGCAGCCGCGGUAAUACGGAGGAUCCGAGCGUUAUCCGGAUUUAUUGGGUUUAAAGGGAGCGUAGAUGGGUUGUUAAGUCAGUUGUGAAAGUUUGCGGCUCAACCGUAAAAUUGCAAUUGAUACUGGCAGUCUUGAGUACAGUUGAGGUAGGCGGAAUUCGUGGUGUAGCGGUGAAAUGCUUAGAUAUCACGAAGAACUCCGAUUGCGAAGGCAGCUUACUAACCUGUAACUGACAUUGAUGCUCGAAAGUGUGGGUAUCAAACAGGAUUAGAUACCCUGGUAGUCCACACGGUAAACGAUGAAUACUCGCUGUAGGCGAUAUACAGUCUGCGGCCAAGCGAAAGCAUUAAGUAUUCCACCUGGGGAGUACGCCGGCAACGGUGAAACUCAAAGGAAUUGACGGGGGCCCGCACAAGCGGAGGAACAUGUGGUUUAAUUCGAUGAUACGCGAGGAACCUUACCCGGGCUUAAAUUGCAACCGAAUAUGGCGGAAACGCUAUAGCUAGCAAUAGCGGUUGUGAAGGUGCUGCAUGGUUGUCGUCAGCUCGUGCCGUGAGGUGUCGGCUUAAGUGCCAUAACGAGCGCAACCCUUGCCGAUAGUUGCUAACAGGUCAUGCUGAGGACUCUGUCGGGACUGCCAUCGUAAGAUGUGAGGAAGGUGGGGAUGACGUCAAAUCAGCACGGCCCUUACGUCCGGGGCUACACACGUGUUACAAUGGGGGGUACAGAGGGCUGCUACCACGCAAGUGGAUGCCAAUCCCAAAAACCUCUCUCAGUUCGGAUUGAAGUCUGCAACCCGACUUCAUGAAGCUGGAUUCGCUAGUAAUCGCGCAUCAGCCACGGCGCGGUGAAUACGUUCCCGGGCCUUGUACACACCGCCCGUCAAGCCAUGGGAGCCGGGGGUACCUGAAGUGCGUAACAGCAAGGAGCGCCCUAGGGUAAAACUGGUGACUGGG